RNAcentral lists this ribosomal RNA (301 nucleotides) under uncultured bacterium. RNAcentral describes it as "partial 16S ribosomal RNA". It matches the Rfam family "Bacterial small subunit ribosomal RNA", at positions 509 to 807 of the family's 1533-position model. The record is from RNAcentral.
CAGUCGCCGCGGGAAUACAGAGGGUGCGAGCGUUAAUCGGAUUUACUGGGCGUAAAGCGUGCGUAGGCGGCAUCUUAAGUCGGAUGUGAAAUCCCUGAGCUUAACUUAGGAAUUGCAUUCGAUACUGGGAAGCUAGAGUAUGGGAGAGGAUGGUAGAAUUCCAGGUGUAGCGGUGAAAUGCGUAGAGAUCUGGAGGAAUACCGAUGGCGAAGGCAGCCAUCUGGCCUAAUACUGACGCUGAGGUACGAAAGCAUGGGGAGCAAACAGGAUUAGAUACCCCGGUAGUCCCUGUCUCUUAUAC